This 127-nucleotide small nuclear RNA is filed under the name Neogale vison (American mink). Its description in RNAcentral is "Neovison vison (American mink) U4 spliceosomal RNA (ENSNVIG00000010834.1)". The stretch from base 1 to 113 matches the Rfam family "U4 spliceosomal RNA". From Rfam's summary of the family: U4 small nuclear RNA (U4 snRNA) is a component of the major U2-dependent spliceosome. Lineage: Eukaryota; Metazoa; Chordata; Mammalia; Carnivora; Mustelidae. The record is from RNAcentral.
AGCUUUGCGCAGUGGCAGUAUCCUAGCCAAUGAGGUUUAUCCGAGGUGCGAUUAUUGCUAAUUGAAAACUUUUCAAUUAUCUUAUCUUUUAACUUUGCAUAUUUUGUAAAUGAUCUGCUGGCCAUCC